UGAAUUAGUAUUAUAAAUAGGCCUUGUAAUCUUCUCUUCUAGACAUGAUAUAUAGAACUUCUUUGGUUUCUAACAUGGUAUCAGAGAAUUAAAGUUUUUCACCAGUUUGUUGAUGGGAAUAUUUUUAUUCCCGUUUAAAUUACUUUUGUUCAGAACAGUCUCUCGCUGCUUUGAUUCUAUUUCAUUGUUUCCGGUCUGUUUUUUUUCUCACCUCCCACACCAUUAAAACACAUUGUUCCGCCAUUAUUCACUAUUCACUGUUCCGACC
This 268-nucleotide long non-coding RNA is filed under the name Nicotiana benthamiana. RNAcentral describes it as "long non-coding RNA (NBEN_LNC010246)". Lineage: Eukaryota; Viridiplantae; Streptophyta; Magnoliopsida; Solanales; Solanaceae. The record is from RNAcentral.